RNAcentral lists this long non-coding RNA (204 nucleotides) under Musa acuminata (dwarf banana). RNAcentral describes it as "long non-coding RNA (MACU_LNC000587)". Lineage: Eukaryota; Viridiplantae; Streptophyta; Magnoliopsida; Zingiberales; Musaceae. The record is from RNAcentral.
UGCCGGGCAACAGAAUGUCAAUUCGCUUUAUAAUAAUUGUCUAGAUCGGAGUAGAGUUUUUGCUUGUGUGUGCAGGAUUAACUACGAUAACGACGAAGACAUAAAGCAAAACAAAGUGUCGGAGUCAAGCACGAAGGAUUCAUUGGGAGUUCGAGAGUUCGACGGAAGUCCGAAGGUUCGUCGGGAAUGCUGCCGGAACUAGCC